AGGACGAACGCUGGCGGCGUGCUUAACACAUGCAAGUGGAGCGACGAACCAGGGCUUGCCCUGGGGCAGAGCCGCGAACGGGUGAGUAACACGUGGGUUACCUGCCUCGAUGACCGGGACAACCCGAGGAAACUCGGGCUAAUACCGGAUGUGCCCGCAAGGGGAAAGGAAGCUUCGGCCUCCGCAUCGAGAUGGGCCCGCGGCCCAUUAGCUUGUUGGUGAGGUAACGGCUCACCAAGGCUUCGAUGGGUAGCUGGUCUGAGAGGACGAUCAGCCACACUGGGACUGAGACACGGCCCAGACUCCUACGGGAGGCAGCAGUGGGGAAUCUUGCGCAAUGCGCGAAAGCGUGACGCAGCAACGCCGCGUGGGGGAAGAAGGCUUUCGGGUUGUAAACCCUUUCAGUUGGACGAAGCUUCGUCGGUGAAUAGCCGGCCGGAGUGACGGUACCUUCACAAGAAGCACCGGCUAACUACGUGCCAGCAGCCGCGGU
RNAcentral lists this ribosomal RNA (493 nucleotides) under uncultured bacterium. RNAcentral describes it as "SSU rRNA". It matches the Rfam family "Bacterial small subunit ribosomal RNA", at positions 26 to 521 of the family's 1533-position model. The record is from RNAcentral.